CCUACGGGAGGCAGCAGUGGGGAAUAUUGGGCAAUGGGCGCAAGCCUGACCCAGCAACGCCGCGUGAAGGAAGAAGGCUUUCGGGUUGUAAACUUCUUUUAAGAGGGAAGAGCAGAAGACGGUACCUCUUGAAUAAGCCCGGCCAACUAAGUGCCAAACGCCCAGGAAAAUCGGAGGUGGCAAGCGUUGGCCGGAUUUACUGGGUGUAAAGGGCGUGCAGCCGGGAAGACAAGUCAGAUGUGAAAUCCCGCGGCUCAACCGCGGAACUGCAUUUGAAACGGGUUUUCUUGAGUACCGGAGAGGUCAUCGGAAUUCCUUGUGUAGCGGUGAAAUGCGUAGAUAUAAGGAAGAACACCAGUGGCGAAGGCGGAUGACUGGACGGCAACUGACGGUGAGGCGCGAAAGCGUGGGGAGCAAACAGGAUUAGAUACCCCAGUAGUC
RNAcentral lists this ribosomal RNA (441 nucleotides) under uncultured bacterium. RNAcentral describes it as "partial 16S ribosomal RNA". It matches the Rfam family "Bacterial small subunit ribosomal RNA", at positions 338 to 795 of the family's 1533-position model. The record is from RNAcentral.